UGUGGUUUGGAUAAAAAAAAAAAAAGUGGA
RNAcentral lists this non-coding RNA (30 nucleotides) under Rattus norvegicus (Norway rat). Lineage: Eukaryota; Metazoa; Chordata; Mammalia; Rodentia; Muridae. The record is from RNAcentral.